GACGAACGCUGGCGGCGUGCUUAACACAUGCAAGUCGAACGGUGAAGCGCCUUCCUUUUUGGUGGGUGUGGAUGAGUGGCGAACGGGUGAGUAACACGUGAGUAACCUGCCCCCUUCUUCUGGAUAACCGCAUGAAAGUGUGGCUAAUACGGGAUAUUCUGGGUCUGUCGCAUGAUGGGUCUGGGAAAGAUAUUGUUUCGGUGGGGGAUGGGCUCGCGGCCUAUCAGCUUGUUGGUGGGGUGAUGGGCUACCAAGGCGGUGACGGGUAGCCGGCCUGAGAGGGUGGACGGGCACACUGGGACUGAGACACGGCGCAGACUCCUACGGGGGGCAGCGGUGGGGAAUAGUGCACAAUGGGCGCAAGCCUGAUGCAGCGACGCCGCGUGAGGGAUGGAGGCCUUCGGGUUGUGAACCUCUUUCGCCAGUGAAGCAGGCCUGCCUCGUUUGUGGGUGGGUUGACGGUAGCUGGAUAAGAAGCGCCGGCUAACUACGUG
RNAcentral lists this ribosomal RNA (494 nucleotides) under uncultured bacterium. RNAcentral's name for it is "partial 16S ribosomal RNA". It matches the Rfam family "Bacterial small subunit ribosomal RNA", at positions 28 to 507 of the family's 1533-position model. The record is from RNAcentral.